Oreochromis aureus is the source of this 980-nucleotide RNA transcript. It is a transcript of the gene named complement C1q tumor necrosis factor-related protein 3-like, with no coding region annotated. The transcript has 4 exons. Lineage: Eukaryota; Metazoa; Chordata; Actinopteri; Cichliformes; Cichlidae. The record is from RefSeq and is a predicted model, not a curated record.
UUUUAUGGUCUUGUUCACUUUAUAGAUCACUCACUCAGGUAUACAGGUGUCACAGUUCAGUUGUGAGGAUUUCCAGAAACAGGAAAGAAACUGUUCUUCCUGCUGCUGCUUCUGAUCUGCUCACAAAUCAGAUGGAGGCAGAUAAAGAUAGAGAUACUGCUAACCAGCACAUCGCACUCCAGCAACCCUAUCCUCAGGACAUCCACGCUGUGCUGAGAGAGCUGACCGCCGCAUUGGCUGAACAGAGGGUGAAGAUUGCAUUCCUAGAAAAAGAGAAUCAAGACCAUGUGACAAAACUGAAAGAACUGGAAAAAAAGGAGAUUGAGACUGACAAGAAGUUGCAGCAGCUACAAGGUACUGCAUGGAAACACCUUCAAACAGGUGGCUUUCUCAGCCUCUCUGCUGGAUCAAGGCCAUGGAGACAUUGGACCCUUUAACAGUCAGAUUACUCUGAUCUUCAAACAUGUUGUCACAAACAUUGGAAAUGCCUACAACCCACACACAGGUAUUUUCACUGCACCAGUGAGAGGAGUCUACCACUUUGAGUGGAGCUUAUAUGGAUAUGGAAACAUUGGUACAGGUGGUGUGUUGUUCAGGAAUGGAGAGAACAUUUUUCUUGCAUAUGAACAACAAACAUCUGGCGGUGUGAGCGCCUCUAAUGGAGCCUCACUGCUUCUAGAGGUUGGAGAUCAGGUGUCUGUACGUCUCUGGGCUGGUGCAAGGAUACAUGACAAUCAAAACCAUCAAACCACUUUCAGCGGUCAUCUGAUCUUCACCAUGUGAGAGGUGUGACAGCUCCAACAUUUCCUGUUUGGACUGUCCUGUGUGGGCAGAGCUUGCGAUUUUUAGAAGUAAAACAGGAAGUAAAUCACCUGCUGGUUUUGUGUUUAUUUGUUUCUGCUUCUCCUCUGAUUCCACUGACUCAGAUAAUUUACUUCUUCUUCUUAUCUUUGAUUCAAAUAAAUCCAGUUAAAUGUUCA